Molecule: ribosomal RNA, 373 nt
Filed under: uncultured bacterium
Lineage: Bacteria
Description: bacterial SSU rRNA
Rfam family: Bacterial small subunit ribosomal RNA
Source: RNAcentral
UACGGAGGGUGCGAGCGUUGUCCGGAUUUAUUGGGUUUAAAGGGUGCGUAGGCUGGAGGGACAGUCAGCGGUGAAAAGCAGUUGCUCAACAAUUGUCUUGCCGCAGAUACUACCUUUCUUGGAUUGGGAGGAGGUUACCGGAACGGAUGGUGUAGCGGUGAAAUGCAUAGAUAUCAUCCAGAACGCCAAUUGCGAAGGCAGGUAACUGUACCUAUAUCGACGCUGAUGCACGAAAGCAUGGGUAGCGAACAGGAUUAGAUACCCUGGUAGUCCAUGCUGUAAACGAUGAGGACUAGCUGUUGGGAGCAUUGCUUUCAGCGGCACAGGGAAACCGUUAAGUCCUCCACCUGGGGAGUACGCCGGCAACGGUGAA